This 450-nucleotide ribosomal RNA is filed under the name uncultured bacterium. RNAcentral describes it as "partial 16S ribosomal RNA". It matches the Rfam family "Bacterial small subunit ribosomal RNA", at positions 354 to 796 of the family's 1533-position model. The record is from RNAcentral.
GUGGGGAAUCUUCCGCAAUGGACGAAAGUCUGACGGAGCAACGCCGCGUGAGUGAUGAAGGUCUUCGGAUUGUAAAGCUCUGUUAAUCGGGACGAAAGAGCCUAGUGUGAAUAAUGCUAGGAAGUGACGGUACCGGAAUAGAAAGCCACGGCUAACUACGUGCCAGCAGCCGCGGUAAUACGUAGGUGGCAAGCGUUGUCCGGAAUUAUUGGGCGUAAAGCGCGCGCAGGCGGAUCUGCCAGUCUGUCUUAAAAGUUCGGGGCUUAACCCCGUGAUGGGAUGGAAACUACAGAUCUAGAGUAUCGGAGAGGAAAGUGGAAUUCCGAGUGUAGCGGUGAAAUGCGUAGAUAUUAGGAAGAACACCAGUGGCGAAGGCGACUUUCUGGACGAAAACUGACGCUGAGGCGCGAAAGCCAGGGGAGCGAACGGGAUUAGAUACCCCAGUAGUCC